UACAGCCAUAUCAUGUUGAAACCCCAGUUCCUAUAAAAUCACAGAAACUAAGCAACAUCAAGCCAAGUCAGUACCUGGAUGGGUGACCACUUUGGAAUACCAAGUGUUGUAAG
Molecule: non-coding RNA, 113 nt
Organism: Acanthosepion pharaonis
Lineage: Eukaryota; Metazoa; Mollusca; Cephalopoda; Sepiida; Sepiidae
Source: the annotation of a GenBank genome assembly